Molecule: ribosomal RNA, 497 nt
Filed under: uncultured bacterium
Lineage: Bacteria
Description: partial 16S ribosomal RNA
Rfam family: Bacterial small subunit ribosomal RNA
Source: RNAcentral
GAUGAACGCUGGCGGCGUGCCUAAUACAUGCAAGUCGAGCGAACAGACGAGGAGCUUGCUCCUCUGACGUUAGCGGCGGACGGGUGAGUAACACGUGGAUCACCUACUUAUAAGACUGGGAUAACUUCGGGAAACUGGAGCUAAUACCGGAUAAUAUAUUGAACCGCAUGGUUCAAUAGUGAAAGACGGUUUUGCUGUCACUUAUAGAUGGAUCCGCGCUGCAUUAGCUAGUUGGUAAGGUAACGGCUUACCAAGGCAACGAGGCGUAGCCGACCUGCGAGGGUGAUCGGCCACACUGGAACUGGAACACGGUCCAGACUCCUACGGGAGGCAGCAGUAGGGAAUCUUCCGCAAAGGGCGAAAGCCUGACGGAGCAACGCCGCGUGAGUGAUGAAGGUCUUCGGAUCGUAAAACUCUGUUAUUAGGGAAGAACAAAUGUGUAAGUAACUAUGCACGUCUUGACGGUACCUAAUCAGAAAGCCACGGCUAACUACGUG